This 484-nucleotide ribosomal RNA is filed under the name uncultured bacterium. RNAcentral describes it as "partial 16S ribosomal RNA". It matches the Rfam family "Bacterial small subunit ribosomal RNA", at positions 30 to 507 of the family's 1533-position model. The record is from RNAcentral.
AUUGAACGCUGGCGGCAGGCCUAACACAUGCAAGUCGAGCGGAUGAAGGGAGCUUGCUCCUGGAUUCAGCGGCGGACGGGUGAGUAAUGCCUAGGAAUCUGCCUGGUAGUGGGGGAUAACGUCCGGAAACGGGCGCUAAUACCGCAUACGUCCUGAGGGAGAAAGUGGGGGAUCUUCGGACCUCACGCUAUCAGAUGAGCCUAGGUCGGAUUAGCUAGUUGGUGGGGUAAAGGCCUACCAAGGCGACGAUCCGUAACUGGUCUGAGAGGAUGAUCAGUCACACUGGAACUGAGACACGGUCCAGACGCCUACGGGAGGCAGCAGUGGGGAAUAGUGGACAGUGGGCGAAAGCCUGAUCCAGCCAUGCCGCGUGUGUGAAGAAGGUCUUCGGAUUGUAAAGCACUUUAAGUUGGGAGGAAGGGCAGUAAGUUAAUAACUUGCUGUUUUGACGUUACCAACAGAAUAAGCACCGGCUAACUUCGUG